This 270-nucleotide long non-coding RNA is filed under the name Mytilus galloprovincialis (Mediterranean mussel). The record is from RNAcentral. Lineage: Eukaryota; Metazoa; Mollusca; Bivalvia; Mytilida; Mytilidae.
GAGAAUUUAACAUUGCAAAAAAUCUGAACUUUUUUUUCAAGUGGUCACUGAACCAUGAAAAUGAGGUCAAGGACAAUGGACAUGUGACUGACGGAAACUUCGUAACAUGAGGCAUCUAUAUACAAAAUAUGAAGCAUCCAGGUCUUCCACCUUCUAAAAUAUAUAGCUUUUAAGAAGUGAGCUAACACCGCCGCCGCCGCCGCCGGAUCACUAUCCCUAUGUCGAGCUUUCUGCAACAAAAGUUGCAGGCUCGACAAAAAUGGCCAUAUU